GGAUUUUCUGGUAAUUCGGGCGUUAUUGUCUUGGCUGCUACUAAUAGACCUGAUGUUCUUGAUUCUGCAUUGCUUAGACCUGGAAGGUUUGAUAGACAAGUUACUGUUGAUAGACCUGAUGUUGCCGGUAGAGUUAAAAUCCUUCAGGUGAAUGAGUCCGAAACUUUUAACUAUCUCACAGUCAGUUUAAUUUAUGAGGAAUUUUUUGAAGUAAAUAAUGAUCCUAGUGUGUCUUGUUUUGUUGUCAACAACAUGGUUUUAAAUUGCAUUUGUGCCACAAUUCUUAAAAUUACAUAGAAUCUAAAUGCAGCUGAUGCAAUCUCAAAUGUGGUUGCGGAUAUAUAAAAAAUGAAGACGUUGCAACUUGCAACCCAAAUUACAUUUG
This 385-nucleotide long non-coding RNA is filed under the name Medicago truncatula (barrel medic). Its description in RNAcentral is "long non-coding RNA (MTRU_LNC001310)". Lineage: Eukaryota; Viridiplantae; Streptophyta; Magnoliopsida; Fabales; Fabaceae. The record is from RNAcentral.